RNAcentral lists this ribosomal RNA (498 nucleotides) under uncultured bacterium. RNAcentral describes it as "bacterial SSU rRNA". It matches the Rfam family "Bacterial small subunit ribosomal RNA", at positions 29 to 524 of the family's 1533-position model. The record is from RNAcentral.
AUUGAACGCUGGCGGAAUGCUUUACACAUGCAAGUCGAGCGGCAGCGCGGGGGCAACCCUGGCGGCGAGCGGCGAACGGGUGAGUAACACAUCGGAACGUACCCAGUGGUGGGGGAUAGCCCGGCGAAAGCCGGAUUAAUACCGCAUACGACCUGAGGGGGAAAGUGGGGGACCGCAAGGCCUCACGCCGUUGGAGCGGCCGAUGUUCGAUUAGCUAGUUGGUAGGGUAAAGGCCUACCAAGGCGACGAUCGAUAGCUGGUCUGAGAGGACGACCAGCCACACUGGAACUGAGACACGGUCCAGACUCCUACGGGAGGCAGCAGUAAGGAAUAUUGGUCAAUGCCCGGAAGGGUGAACCAGCCAUCCCGCGUGAAGGAUGAAGGGGCUCUGCCUUGUAAACUUCUUUUGUAUGGGGCGAAAAAAGGGGAUUUAUACCUCGACUGACGGUACCAUAAGAAUAAGCAACCGGCUAACUCCGUGCCAGCAGCCGCGGUAAU